RNAcentral lists this ribosomal RNA (527 nucleotides) under uncultured bacterium. RNAcentral describes it as "bacterial SSU rRNA". It matches the Rfam family "Bacterial small subunit ribosomal RNA", at positions 355 to 896 of the family's 1533-position model. The record is from RNAcentral.
UGGGGAAUUUUCCGCAAUGGGCGAAAGCCUGACGGAGCAAUACCGCGUGAGGAAAGACGGCUUUUGGGUUGUAAACCUCUUUUCUCUGGGAAGAAGGUCUGACGGUACCGGAGGAAUCAGCAUCGGCUAACUCCGUGCCAGCAGCCGCGGUAAUACGGAGGAUGCAAGCGUUAUCCGGAAUUAUUGGGCGUAAAGCGUCCGCAGGCGGUUAUUUAAGUCUGUUGUCAAAGGUCACAGCUCAACUGUGGAUCGGCAAUGGAAACUGAAUGACUAGAGUGUGGUAGGGGUAGAGGGAAUUCCCAGUGUAGCGGUGAAAUGCGUAGAUAUUGGGAAGAACACCAGCGGCGAAAGCGCGCAACUGGGCUGAGACUGACACUGAGGGACGAAAGCUAGAGGAGCGAAAGGGAUUAGAUACCCCUGUAGUCCUAGCCGUAAACGAUGGACACUAGGUGUUGCGCGUAUCGACCCGUGCAGUGCCGUAGCUAACGCGUUAAGUGUCCCGCCUGGGGAGUACGCACGCAAGUGUG